This is an RNA transcript of Amphiprion ocellaris (clown anemonefish), 4363 nucleotides long. It is a transcript of the gene named immunoglobulin-like domain containing receptor 1b, with no coding region annotated. The transcript has 10 exons. NCBI's taxonomy places the organism in Eukaryota, Metazoa, Chordata, Actinopteri, Pomacentridae. The record is from RefSeq and is a predicted model, not a curated record.
GGAGGGGGAGGAUUCACCUCCGACUCUGCAGCUGUAAAGCCGAACCCUGUUCUCUGUUCUCCCUGAGCGGACUACCUGCUGUUCUGAGGGAAACUCUGGUUCCUGUGCAGAAACUAAACCCACACUAACUCUGACCCAUGAAGGAUUUCUGCACAUGUUCCGGAUUCUUCGUGGAUUUUCUGUCUCCUAUCGGACAGUAGAGAGUGAAGCUUCCGCUGGAGGAUAAAGAGCAGCGAGAUGGGAAACACGAUACUGAUGGCGCUGGUGUUGGUUCACCUGCCGACAGAGCUGCUGUCCAUUCAGGUGAUCGUUCCGCAGACGGAGAGGAGGACGAUGCUGUUCGCCAGCAUCAUUCUGCGCUGCGAUUACUCAACUUCAGCAAACCCUCAGGAUGUUCUGGUCACUUGGAGGUACAAAUCCUUCUGCAAAGACCCCAUACUGGAGUACUACUCCACAGCCUAUCAGGCGGCUCUGCAACUGGGUCAGGACCCCUCCAACGACUGUCCGGACCGCCAGCGCACCGUCCGGACAGUGAUUCAGAAGAGGGGCCUCAAUGAACCCAUCCUGGGAGCAGACUACAGAGAACGCAAGAUUACCAUUCAGAACAAGGCUGACCUGGUCAUCACUGAGGUGAUGUGGUGGGAUAACGGGGUGUAUUUCUGCAACAUCGAUGCUGCUGGAGACACGACAGGAGACUCAGAUCGAGAAGUCAAACUCAUCGUGUUCCACUGGCUGACGGUUCUGUUAAUCGUCAUCGGCGCUCUCAUGCUCAUCAUGCUCUUCUGCAUCUGCUGCUGUCAGUGCUGCCCACAGAGGUGCUGCUGCUAUGUCCGCUGUCCAUGCUGUCCUCAGACCUGCUGCUGCCCAGAAAAAGCUGUGAUGCAGCACAGGAUGCUGCAAGAGGCUCAGAAGGCCAUGGCUCCCUGGAUGAACGGUCAGCCCAUUUACGCUCCCAUCAGCUCCAACGUCUCCUCCCAGGGCAUCCCCCUACUCUAUUCAGGUUCAUAUGCAGACUACCCAACCAAGCAGAACUUCUCCAUGGCUCCCAUGGAGCUGUCUCCCAUGGCCCUGCAGCCUCCUCCUCCUCCACAUCAUGUCAACGGUAGCAUGCGUAGCAGCAUUCAAGGUACCAACCAGGUGUUGGACUAUCUGGAGAACCAGGUGAGAGGGCUGGACGUCGUGGCGCCUCAAAUGGCUCCAGUCCACAACAUGCACCCAUUACAGUCCCACCCCCAGCCCCAGGUGGCCCCUCCAGCCGUCCCCUACACCCCUGGACCUCCCAGCAUGCUGUCUGCGCUGGAUGAGAUGGGGGUGAGAGGGGUGGAGAGGAGGGUGAUCACUCUGCCUCCUAUUAUCCAGCGUGUUCCUGGAAGUAGAGAUGCAGCCAGAGGAGGCCAGAGGAUGUCCAGCCGGUCCAGCGGCAGCACCAACCGCUCUGGUUUCCCUAGCGACCGCCGUGGAUACAGGCACGGAGACGUCUCUCCUCCCAGACGGGGGAUCCUGCGUGAUUACAGCGAUGAUUCGGAUCGGGACGCCAGGCGGCUAAGAGAACCUCACAGAGGGUCGAGGAAUGACCGAGGAAGCUCCAACAGCAGGAGAGGAGGUGGAUCCAGACCACGAGCCCGAAGCAGAGACGACUUGAUGGAGGAGCUGCACAGCAGAACAGCUCGGAGGGAGAGGAGCUAUUCUCCUCCUCAGCACCGCAGAGCAUCCUGGAGCUCAGAGGAGGAGGACAGCAGGAGGGGAAAAGGAGGUAGAGGCGGCGACUGGCCAGAGAAGCCUCCCAGCUACUCCUCCAUCGAGAUCCAGGCUGGACGCAGUAACGGCAGGAGGAACUACAACCGCCUUUCUCAUUUCAGGUGUAAAUGCAGGAGUAGGCCAAUGCACAACAGACCCGUGGAGCAUUCACAGAAACGACAAAAUCAGAACAACAAGAAGAGGGAAAUCUGGGAGGAAACUGAGAAUCUGACAGAUCUGUCAGAAUCUGUCAGAUAGGCCACGCCCCCCCGCUGUCCGGUGGUCUCUGGAGGAUGGAGUCCCAGGUAUUAGAGGGUGUAGUCCCCCUCGUCCCGGUUCAUGGAGCAGCUCGCAUGUCAGCAAGGAUAGAAGCUCCCAUAGCAGCACCAGCGUAGUCAUCUGAAACAUUUCUAUCUGUUCACCUUUUCCUGAAUAUUUCCACAACGGCGAACAUGAAGACAAAGAGUAGGUACCUUAAUCUGUCCUGUGGGCUGAAAAUUAGAGUUGUUCUUGUGAAUUUGAAUAGUGAAAAUGUACUGUAUGGUUAUAGUUGUACUCUGUAAGCACUGUAUUUUUAUGUAUGCUGAAAAAGAGGGCAGUUAAGGCUGUAUAAUGCAGAUAAGAUGUAGUUGUAUUUAGGCCUCGUCCACAUGUACAGGGGUAUUUUUUAAACAGCUUUUUCAAUGUGUUUUUCAUUUGCAUGUAGGCAAUUUUAGAUCCGUAGAAACUCAGGUUCUGGUAAACGUUCUCCUUUGUGAAGACAUUCAGAGACUCAGUUUACAUUAACAGGGAAAACUGAGGAAAUUGUGCAUUUGCUUGCCUGAAUACAAAACCUCUGUUGUUUACAAGAAGUGAUUUUAUGCAGCUGUUGGCGUGCCCAAACUAAUGCUCAUCUUUUUACGGCACUUUUUAGACUUUAGUAGUUAUUGCAGCCAAUUUGCUGGAAGUGCACGAAAAAUUAACAGAAUUUAAUCAUGCUACAACUUUAAUUUGCUGCUUAAACGAAAACAGUUGUCAUUUUCUGUGACUAAUUUUCAAGAGAAUGCUGCCUGAUAUCACACCAUUUACUCUGAUUUAAGAGUUUUUGAAUCCAGUGAGUUUGUUUUUCUUCACUUCAUUUUUGUUCACAACUUAUUUGUGUUAAAAAUUUAAAUCCGUGCCCAGAAUGGCGUGUGUCGAGUACAACGUCAGGUCUAAAUGGUAUUCAGAGUUUUGAGAAAAGUUCCCAGCUGAUUUUUUCAGCUGUUUUUAAAUCUUUUUAUUAUUUCCAAACAGAUACACUCACAAACAGAAUCACCAUGAUCAUUCCAGAAUAAUGAAUUCUUUCCAAAUUGAGUUAUUAAUUACUCUGAUGAAAAUUCCUGUAUUUUUUUAUAUAAAUGGAAGAAAAACAACAUAAUACACCCCUAAUGGCUACAAGGUUAGUGUCAUAGUGCCACCUGGUGGUUUGUCGUGCCCUUAACAGGGCUUCUGCUCAGUUUUGCAUUUUCAUUUCUUAUUCUAUGUAGAGAAUAAUAAACCCUGUUUAAAGACAUGUUGUGCUGAUGGACGAGGCUUCAGUCUGAUCUCUUGCUAUUGAGAUAAUUAAUGUUUGAUUCUUGUCCUGCUGUCUAACGCUGUCAUCUGUAAUUGUGCUAUCGUUUUGGUGAUGGAUAAAUUGUCUUUUUGGUGAAGCAGAUAUCAAAGUUUCAACAAUCAGAUUGUUGAAUACUGUAAGAUUUUAUGGAGUAUGUAGGUUUGUCAUUGUGGACCUGUUAUGUGUCUUUUUUAGAAGACAGAGACUGUGGAUGUGUUUUUGUUUUUUUACAGUAAUUAACUCAACUAUUUAAAGAAUUUUAUUUCAGAUGUAUUUGUCCAUGAUAACAUUAGAAGGCAGCAGAAAUACAAGCUACACUACAUAGACAUUUCUAGAAAACAGACAGAUUAGUGGAAGAUUCUGCUGUAAUUACUGGACCCACAAUAACACACAAUAAUUGUGAUUUUCAUUAAUGUUUGCUUAUGUUAUGAACACUAAUACAGAUGUACCAUUAUGACAUGUAUGUUUUUAAUAAAACAUUUUCUAUACAGCUAGUGAAGUGGGUCAUUUAUGUUCUUAGAUUUAAUUUGAAUUCAAAAGCUUUAUUUAAAAAUGGAUCCUGACACUUAUUACCAAAGUGGUGAAGUCCCCCUUUGCCUUAGAUCUGCAGGUUUUAAUUUGAUUACUUGCAGGUUUGUUUGGAACUUUGUGGCACUAAAAUCAAAUAUCAGCUGCGUCUUUAAUUCUUCUACACUUUUGUGACGCUGUUUUUAUUUUAGUUCAUUACUGCAAACUACCUGAUAGCAAAAAAAAUACAACAUCAAAACAAUAAUGGGAUUUUUUUUGUAAAUACACAAAAUGCAGAUUUAAAAUGAGCAAUUUUUACUUGAUGUAUGAAAGGGGGAUAAGAUCAGAACGUGAAAGUGUUUCAGUGCAGAAAGGUGAAUCGUGUGUUCUGUACAUCAGAUUUGUGGCUGUUUUUUUUUUUAUUUUUAAUUUUAUUUUUUUUCUGUUAAAAAUUUUUUUCACCCUUGUAUAUAUUGUAAAUAAAGCUGCUGUAACAAUGUAAAUUUCCCCUGGAGUGGGGAGAAAUAAAGAACUUUAUCUUUA